GUAGGAUAGAGGCCUACCAUGGUGGUAACGGGUAANGGGGUGUUAGGGCACGACACCGGAGAGGGAGCCUGAGAAACGGCUACCACAUCCAAGGAUGGCAGCAGGCGCGCAAAUUACCCAAUCCCGACACGGGGAGGUAGUGACAAUAAAUAACAAUACGGGGUUCUUUCGGAUCUCGUAAUUGGAAUGAGUACAAUUUAAAUCUCUUAACGAGGAACAAUUGGAGGGCAAGUCUGGUGCCAGCAGCCGCGGUAAUUCCAGCUCCAAUAGCGUAUAUUAAAGUUGUUGCAGUUAAAAAGCUCGUAGUUGAAUUUCGGGAUCAGAUUGUCGGUCGUGCCUCGGUACGCACUGGCAUUAUUGGUUCCUACCUUCUGAAGAACCGCGAUGUCAUUAAUUUGGUGUCGCGGGGAAUCAGGACUGUUACUUUGAAAAAAUUAGAGUGUUUAAAGCAGGCGCACGCUUGAAUACAUUAGCAUGGAAUAAUGAAAUAGGACGUUUGAUUCUAUUUUGUUGGUUUCUAGAAUCGACGUAAUGAUUAAUAGGGAUAGUUGGGGGCAUUAGUAUUCAAUUGUCAGAGGCGAAAUUCUUGGAUUUAUUGAAGACUAACUACUGCGAAAGCAUUUGCCAAGGAUGUUUUCAUUAAUCAAGAACGAAAGUUAGGGGAUCGAAGACGAUCAGAUACCGUCGUAGUCUUAACCAUAAACUAUGCCGACUAGGAAUCAGACGAUGUUAAUUUUUUAAUGACUCGUUUGGCACCUUACGGGAAACCAAAGUGUUUGGGUUC
RNAcentral lists this ribosomal RNA (784 nucleotides) under uncultured Glomus. Its description in RNAcentral is "SSU rRNA". It matches the Rfam family "Eukaryotic small subunit ribosomal RNA", at positions 328 to 1114 of the family's 1831-position model. Lineage: Eukaryota; Fungi; Glomeromycota; Glomeromycetes; Glomerales; Glomeraceae. The record is from RNAcentral.